This is a long non-coding RNA of Callithrix jacchus (white-tufted-ear marmoset), 1812 nucleotides long. The record is from Ensembl. NCBI's taxonomy places the organism in Eukaryota, Metazoa, Chordata, Mammalia, Primates, Cebidae.
UAUUUGAUGCUGAAUUUGGAUGAGAUCACAUUCACUCAGUGAUGCACGUUUUGUGGCUUUUGCAUGUUUCAGACACUGUGCUAUCAGCUGAAGAGUUAGCAAUGAAAAGUCUAUUUUUAUGAGUUAUAAUUUCACCAGGUUUUAUGUAAUCGCAGCAAACUACGAUUCUCAGGGAAGAAAACAAGUGGGGACAGAGCUCUGGAGACACACAACAUCACUUUGAUUCAAGGAAGGCCUCUCUGAUAGACUUCUAAAACUCAAGAUGAGUUCUGUGUUGAGGCCAGAGCUUUGGAGACAUCCAGCUGGAUCCAUGUUUCCAUCCUCCAGGGAAGGUCUCUGAGCAAUGCGUCCCUGCAUAGAAUGCCACCUCAAUGUGCCAGAUUCCAAAGGGCCGCAAGCUGCUUUGAUUCUAGCCUCUGUCUUCUUGUUUCCAGUUUCUCAGUGAGCAACUGGAACCCUGGCCCAAAUCCCAGAGUGUUGAUUAGGGACCAACUGGAUUUGGAUUAAUUUUGUGGUUUUCGAUAUGCCUUUUACACAAGAGUGGAUGCCAGUUCCUAGAUGCCUCGGGUUGUGCUCGAGGCUGAUCUAAACCCCACAGGCCCCUCCAAGCCAUGCUGAUACACACCAUAAAUAAUUCCUACUGCGUAUGCAUGUAUGUACCUGCAUGUGUUUAAGAGAGAGAGAAAGAGAGGAAGAUUUUGAGGGAGAUGCUGAGACUCCUGCACUUUUGAGACAUUGUAUCCGUUGUACCCUGCUGCAAAUCUAUUUUGUCCCUCCUUCCUCUGUCUUAGCAUCUGCCUGUUUCCUACGUGGAAGAGAAUCUAGAAUCACGUUCUUGAUGGGCCGCUCUCUUCAACUACUUUUUGUUUCCUUUGUUAAAAAGGAACCACCUUGUUGCAGACCACAGCAGGACAACGGUUUUGGGGUACAUGUGCAGAACUUGGAACCAACCCAAAUGCCCAUCAAUGAUAGACUGAACUGGGAAAAUGUGGCACAUAUACACCAUGGAAUAUUAUGCAGCAAUCAAAAAUGAUGAGUUCAUGUCCUUUGUAGGGACAUGGAUGAAUCUGGAAAUAAGCCUCUUUCUAAUUCCACCCACUAGUUGGAGCUUCUGCCCUUGGGCAAAGAAGAGCAAGCUAAAACCUGAAUGGAAAAGCCAACCAAUGGCACCUGCAGAUAGAAAAUCAUACCAUCAUAAGAACAGAUUUCCAAGAAACUGUCAACUCUUCAGCUGCGGAUCAUGGUGAGCGGUGACUUGAAGGUCUCCAAAUGGUCCUUUGCUUUUGAAUACUAUGUCAAACCCCACGGGAGGAAGCAAGCACUUAGCUUCAGGCAAGGAAGACUGUAGCAAAGGCAUUGCCUCAUCAAACUCCCCCAGUUCUUCAGUUUCCUUAAAUGUCACUUUCUCUGAAUCUUUUUUUACAUUCCACUUUUAGGCAGAAGGAAGCAUUGCCUUAGCAGUGUUUUUCCAACCACCAUUCAUCGGCACUUCUUGUUUUAGCUGUUUUUCUCAACACUACUUCCAGAGCCUAAAAUAAUGCAUGACUCAGAACAAGUUCCCUGUAUUUGUAGAAUGAAUGAGUAAAGGUCAAUGGUGAAGUUCUGGCAUAGCUUAGUUAUGUAGCAGUCUGUCUCCCAAGAGUAUAAGCAUUUAAUUCAGGGGCUGUGUUUAAUGGCUGGCAAGUCAUAUCUGAGGAUAAGGAGGGCUUCACUUAUUGAGUUUGCUAGAUAUGAUGUUGAGUACCUGAGGUGAGUAAUCUUCAUUGAUCUUUGCACAAACCUAUGGGUAGAUAUUUUAAAGGUAAGAACACU